This 253-nucleotide ribosomal RNA is filed under the name uncultured bacterium. RNAcentral describes it as "partial 16S ribosomal RNA". It matches the Rfam family "Bacterial small subunit ribosomal RNA", at positions 524 to 776 of the family's 1533-position model. The record is from RNAcentral.
UACAGAGGUCUCAAGCGUUGUUCGGAUUCAUUGGGCGUAAAGGGUGCGUAGGCGGCGCGGUAAGUCGGGUGUGAAAUCUCGGAGCUUAACCCCGAAACUGCAUUUGAUACUGCGGUGCUCGAGGACUGGAGAGGAGACUGGAAUUCACGGUGUAGCAGUGAAAUGCGUAGAUAUCGUGAGGAAGGCCAGUGGCGAAGGCGAGUCUCUGGACAGUUCCUGACGCUGAGGCACGAAGGCCAGGGGAGCAAACGGG